AUUGUGAGCUUGAUGAGUAGGGCGGGACACGUGGUAUCCUGUCUGAAUAUGGGGGGACCAUCCUCCAAGGCUAAAUACUCCUGACUGACCGAUAGUGAACCAGUACCGUGAGGGAAAGGCGAAAAGAACCCCGGCGAGGGGAGUGAAAAAGAACCUGAAACCGUGUACGUACAAGCAGUGGGAGCACGCUUAGGCGUGUGACUGCGUACCUUUUGUAUAAUGGGUCAGCGACUUAUAUUCUGUAGCAAGGUUAACCGAAUAGGGGAGCCGAAGGGAAACCGAGUCUUAACUGGGCGUUAAGUUGCAGGGUAUAGACCCGAAACCCGGUGAUCUAGCCAUGGGCAGGUUGAAGGUUGGGUAACACUAACUGGAGGACCGAACCGACUAAUGUUGAAAAAUUAGCGGAUGACUUGUGGCUGGGGGUGAAAGGCCAAUCAAACCGGGAGAUAGCUGGUUCUCCCCGAAAGCUAUUUAGGUAGCGCCUCGUGAAUUCAUCUCCGGGGGUAGAGCACUGUUUCGGCAAGGGGGUCAUCCCGACUUACCAACCCGAUGCAAACUGCGAAUACCGGAGAAUG
Molecule: ribosomal RNA, 575 nt
Filed under: Shigella sonnei
Lineage: Bacteria; Pseudomonadati; Pseudomonadota; Gammaproteobacteria; Enterobacterales; Enterobacteriaceae
Description: partial 23S ribosomal RNA
Rfam family: Bacterial large subunit ribosomal RNA
Source: RNAcentral